Molecule: ribosomal RNA, 386 nt
Filed under: uncultured cyanobacterium
Lineage: Bacteria; Bacillati; Cyanobacteriota
Description: bacterial SSU rRNA
Rfam family: Bacterial small subunit ribosomal RNA
Source: RNAcentral
GCAAUGCCGCGUGGAGGUAGAAGGCCCACGGGUCGUGAACUUCUUUUCUCGGAGAAGAAGCAAUGACGGUAUCUGAGGAAUAAGCAUCGGCUAACUCUGUGCCAGCAGCCGCGGUAAGACAGAGGAUGCAAGCGUUAUCCGGAAUUAUUGGGCGUAAAGCGUCUGUAGGUGGUCAAAUAAGUCAACUGUUAAAUCUCGAGGCUCAACCUCAAAAUCGCAGUCGAAACUAUUAGACUAGAGUAUAGUAGGGGUAGAGGGAAUUCCCAGUGUAGCGGUGAAAUGCGUAGAUAUUGGGAAGAACACCGGUGGCGAAAGCGCUUUACUGGGCCGACACUGACACUGAGAGACGAAAGCUAGGGUAGCAAAUGGGAUUAGAUACCCCAGUA